RNAcentral lists this long non-coding RNA (384 nucleotides) under Homo sapiens (human). RNAcentral describes it as "non-protein coding lnc-ZNF91-4:17". Lineage: Eukaryota; Metazoa; Chordata; Mammalia; Primates; Hominidae. The record is from RNAcentral.
CUUGGGUGCUGGGAAGAGGCACAUGUCACACGUGCAAGAAGGUCCAAGGAUGAGAUUAAAAAUUCCACAAAGGUCCAAAUUCUAGGGCCCAGACAGAAGAGAAGAGUCACAUCAUCUAGAUGAUGAAUGAAAAGAUAUGUCAUUAUUCUCCUUUGGGCAGUGCUUCUGCAGAAAAGUUGCACCUUCUAGGUGUUGGACUCAGCAAUAUAUCACAAUGUCUGCAGUAUUUUGGAAGGAGAGGAGAGUCACCAUUACUUAGUCUAUCUUCAAUUUACAGACCUUGGCUUUUCUACCCCAAUUCAAGAAGUCACUUCUUCAGUCAACCAAACCAAUUACAAAAUUGUGUUCCAAUGUCACAUGUUCAAAAAUAAACAGUUCCUGAAA